GGAUCAAUAUGUCGGUCGUGCUUCGGUACGUACUGGUAUCAUUGGUUUCUCCUUUCUGACGAACCAUGAUGUCAUUAAUUUGGUGUCAUGGGGAAUCAGGACUGUUACUUUGAAAAAAUUAGAGUGUUUAAAGCAGGCUUACGCUUGAAUACAUUAGCAUGGAAUAAUGAAAUAGGACGUUUAAUUCUAUUUUGUUGGUUUCUAGGAUUGACGUA
This 215-nucleotide ribosomal RNA is filed under the name Campeiostachys nutans. RNAcentral describes it as "Elymus nutans partial small subunit ribosomal RNA". The stretch from base 46 to 215 matches the Rfam family "Eukaryotic small subunit ribosomal RNA", at positions 693 to 864 of the family's 1831-position model. The record is from RNAcentral. Lineage: Eukaryota; Viridiplantae; Streptophyta; Magnoliopsida; Poales; Poaceae.